GUACAGCCUGCAAAACCAUAAUUUUGGUUUUAAAUUCCUUUAUAUAGGGAUGAUGUGUUUUUCUUUUAUAUUUGUUGUUUUAGAAAAGCUAAUAACUACUCAUAUUAUUAUGACUGUUGAUUACAUUUAGUAAAAAUCCUAUUCGGCAAUUUAAAUCUCAGUGAGUGUGAUACUUCACUACACAUGCGCUCAGAUUUUUCGAAGUUCCCAUCUCAGGUAUGAAUUCGAUUGGAUCGGACUACCAAAAAAUAUUUUACUUGCAGUUCCCAUUGUUGCAGGUAUUGAUUCAUCCCGGUUCUUCCUAGAUUUAUCCAUUAGGUAAUCAUUGCUUUUCUUAUUAAUGCAUCUGCUCAUAGCCAGAUUCUUUAAUAGCCAAAAUAGUGCUCCUUAAGUUAUUUUUUAUUUCAGGCAAUAAGAGCAUACCUCACGUGUUGCAGUGUUCAGACCAGAAUUAUGCAUGAUUUUGGGUUUAUCUAGUGUAAAUUUUCAGUUCUACGAUGUAUAUUCUUGGAUGCUUGGAUUUAGUAUUAGAACUGGAGAUUCUACAUAAAUACAAAUGAUGUGUGAAUUUUUCUGUUGAAACUGGU
RNAcentral lists this long non-coding RNA (587 nucleotides) under Hordeum vulgare. RNAcentral's name for it is "long non-coding RNA (HVUL_LNC003469)". The record is from RNAcentral. Lineage: Eukaryota; Viridiplantae; Streptophyta; Magnoliopsida; Poales; Poaceae.